UAAAAUAAGGCUAAUUAUUUAUGUAUUUUGGAUUGAAUGAACCAUUUGAAUAAGAGAAAACAACCAUUUUACCCUUCUAUCUAAAAGUAAUGUAGAAUACCAAGUUGUUGUUAAUUUGUGAGAACUAUUGAAAUUUUAAACUAAAAAUCACUUUUAUAUAUACGACCAUGAGACUUACAUAUGUUUGUCAAAAACUACCAUAACUGUCUUUUGUCAAAGCAAACUUGCAGUGUAAUCUUACCAUUAUUUUCUACAGAUAGAGCAAAAUCCUUUUGGCUUUUGCAAUGCAUUGUUUCCCCAGACAACAAAUCAGAAUGCAAACGACUUGUUAUAUUCAGAAACAUUGAAUUAAACCCCAAUUUAACAAGGAUUCAUGCCUCUCAUACUCCCCUUGGGUUAUUAAACAACUUCUAUUUAUGUCUAAUUGAGACAAUUCUUCCAAUCCUAUGCAGAUUUAAUCUCCUACACAGAUUUAAUCUCCUACAUCAAUUACAAACACAACAGAGCCAUUAGCCGUAUAGCUUAACAACAAAAUAAGCAAAACUUAUACCUUUAUAAAUGAAGAUGAAUAAGAUCACUAUCAUGUUUCUUGUAAUUUGUUUAGUGAGUGAUAUAAAUUAGAGCUUACACCCUUGAUUACAGGGAAGGACAAAAGUGUGUGUAGAUACGAAAAACAUAACUCAAGACAAGGAAUGAAACAAUGAAGAUGUCACACCCCGAAAACCAAAGGCGGAAACAUUUCCGGGGUUGACUCCACGUUGAGUAUCAAAUCCAAUGUACAUAGUAAUCACAGUAAACAACCAUUACAUUACAUAUAUUUGAAAGUUUACAUUUGUUUCAAAAGUAAAUUGUACAAGUUUUAUACAUAUAUCAUAUGAACAAAAGUUGAGACGAGUCUUCUGAGCACUCUGUCUUCACCAAAAGAUAUCGCCGGGUACCUGUCUAACGUGGACCUGAGAAUACAAGCAGUUUGAAAAUCAGCAUAAAGCUGGUGAGUUCAUAAGCAGUUUUGUUUUGUGAAAAUGUACCAGUUUCCUUUAGUUUUUCCGAAAAGGUUUGUUAUCCAAGAAAAUCUCAUAUUUUCUUAUGUUAAACAGUUUAGUUAUCUUUCAUUACAGUUCAAUUACGCGUUAUACGAUACCCCAGGAAAAUCCCAUAUUUUCCUAAAUGCAAGACCGAUUGAAUAACACAGAGUAUAGUUUAAUACACAAAACUAUAUAUUGAGAAUCAUAGGAUUACUAUCCCGAAUUAGAUAUAAAAUACUUUAAUAUACACGAACUGUAGAUAGAAAGUAGUUUGAAAACCUUGGGACUAACAUCCCGAACUAGAUACAAGAUAGUUUGAUAUACUUGAAAAUAUAGAUUGAAAACCAUGGGAAUACCAUCCCGGACUAGAUACAAAAUAGUUUGUUAGAAACCAUGGGAUUACUAUCCCGAACUAGAUAUAUGAUAGUUUGAUAAAACCAUGGGAUCACUAUCCCGAAUUAGAUAUAAGAUUUUUUAAUAAAACCAUGGGAUCACUAUCCCGAACUAGAUAUAGAUUCUAACCAUAGGAAUAACAUCCUGCAAUAGAUAUGAACCCUGUAGACUAAAAACCAUGGGAUUACCAUCCCGAACUAGAUAUAAGAUCUAAAGAUAGAAGAUUGAUAUAAAAUCAAAUCCAAAACCAAAGCCGUGAAUAAACUUAUAUUAAUACGUAUUGUGAGUCGGGUAACCAUGCUGAUACAACAACGAGACCUCCUUGACGCUUGUCAGACGUCGGACGAUAUCCAGAAUUUGUCACCCCAGGCGUGCCCGCCUAACUGUAGCUAGCAGUUAAGGUGUGGGAUUGUCAGUCCCGAAUAGAUCUAUUCACAAAUUCCUCGCUCUCCCUCCAGGAGACUCUGGUUACACUUCCGGGGAGGAUUUACUGAUCAUCCAUAAAGGGUAGUGACUAACUCACAAACUAGUACUAAACUAUUAACAGGGUUCUCAUACGAUAUCAAACAUACAAAAGAUUAUGAAACAUAAUACAGUGAAUAUAGGUACAUACUAUGAAACUAUCUGACAAUACAUUCAAAUGAUACGGAGAUAAACUGAAUCAGACAUAGUUUAUCUAAUAACUUUAUAUACAUAUCAGUACAUGAUAAAACGAACACUAAAGAACCCCAAAUUAUUCCUAUAAUAAUUUGAUUAGUUUGAUUAUUUUCUUAACUAAAAUCCAUUUAGUUGUACUUGAUAAAUCAUCCCUUAUGCUCAGCAUAAUACAUAAAGGGUAAAAAUGUUUAUAAGUUUGCCAGAUAUUAUUUGAAACAUAUCAAUGUUAUAAUUCGAAAACACUUAUAGUUUGCUUGUAUUCCCCCCUGAAAACAUUGAAAAACACGGAAAAAGCGUAGGGGUAUGAACUCACCGGACGAGAAACAUGACGAUUUAGGAUGCUAAACGUUGGAUCGGGGCUUGCAAACGUACGAUAUUCCUAUGUAUAAUGAAAAGAUACACAUUUGUAUCUAAUUAGGACUUAGAUUAUUUAAUUGUUAGGGACAAACACUUUUAGUCGCGGAUACACCCCAUUACAAGUGUGUGGAAGGACUCGGGUGGCGUUUAAGGACUUGAAUGACCGGGAAAUGGAGUUUACUCUUCAAGAGUAAACUCAUACAAGAGUUUUCAGCCAAUAACACCCACUCCCCAUGAGUUUACGGCAGUAAACUCAUGGUGGGGUCAUUUGUGGGCAAAAUGGCUAUUGACACUUAAGGGGAAAAUUUCUAGGUUUGGUUUAAGGGCUUGGAAUAAAUUUUAAACACCAAAUGGACAUACUUAAGGGAGUUUACGGCCUAGCAUGGGACUCAUGGCCGUAAACUCCUAUAUACCCAUGAAUAAUUGUGUUAAUGAUUCCAAACAAAUCACAUGUGAUUGCUAAAAUUGUUCCAAGGCCUUACAUGAAUUUUUAUGGAACUUUUGAGGUGUUUUUGGAGUUUACGGCCCAUGAGACCCCCCUCAUGGCCGUAAACUCUCCUAGAGUGUGAUUCAUUAUGUUUUAAGGCCAAAAAACUUGUUUGUAUACACUUCUAAAAAUUAUUCUAAGGCUUUAGGGGUGUUAAAGUGGCUUUCUAACACCUUUGGAGGAGUUUACUCCCCAUAUUAUGGAGUUUACGGCCCAAGCAUAAGCCUUGGCCGUAAACUCUCAUUUGUCCCUCAAAAUAUAUGUUUAAGGCCCUUAAACCAUUUUUAGUUGGUUCUAUGAUUUAUUCCAAGGCUUUUGGUGAAGGUAUAUGACUUUAUAACAUGUUGAAAAUGAGUUUAUACUCAUGUUUGAGGGGUUUACGGCCCAAAGCAUGUGCCUUGGCCGUAAACUCCUUCAAAUCCCUCAAAAUCCAUGUCUAAAGUGUUCUAAGUCCAUUCCAUGAAGUCAUUUAGCCAUAUCUAAGUCCCAAAAUUGUUUAGGAGGGGUUUAAAGGCAUAAAAACCCCUUUACUAUGUGUUUACGGCCCAAGCUCCUUCCAGGGCCGUAAACUCAUAUACAAGGUCUUAAUUCAUGUUUUAAUCUCGAAUUUGAAGGCCAAAUAUGCUAUACAAUGAGUUUAGGAAGGUACCUUAGAGAUUUGAGGCCUUAAAAUUGAGUUUUGGACCCUUAAACUUAGAUUUAGGAGAGAGGUUAGAGAGAGAGUAGUGAGAGAGAGAAAAAGCUUCAAAUGAAAGGUUUAACACGUUUAUAUAGGUCGCAAAACUUGGACACGGUGGAAUUCUACCCGAUACCGGCAUUAAACGGGGCUUUUGGUCGCACCCGAUUAAGUUUCUGAGACUCGGCGGGGACGUUCCUAAUAUUUAUGAAAUACAUAUUUUAGGCUAAUUUCAUGAGUUCCUAAGGGGUUUGGACACUCAUUAGCAUCAAUUAAAUAUAUAUAAGUUAAAUUAACUUAACCCAAAAACGACAUCAGAAUGUUUCGAUAUACGACGAGUUAUACGGGUAGAACGGGGUUUUCGGCGAUGAACAACUUCGGGUUGUUACAGAAGAAAUAGUCACCUUCCGUUGAAGAACCUUGGCACUCUGUUCUUUCUCGUUAAAGCGAAGUAAUUGGGGCUUUCUUCAAGUUCAAAUUCAAACUUUCUUAUUAUGCUUCAGAUUCAGCUUCAGAAGCAGAAGCAGAAGAAGUAGCACCAGCAGAAGCAGAAGAAGUAGAAGCAGAAGUAGAAGCAGCAGCAAAAGCAGAAGCAGCAGAGGAAGAGGAAGAUGAAGAGGAAGAGGAAGAGGCAGCAGCGCCAGCAAAAGAAGAAGAAGAAGAAGUGACCUGUGACAGCUCACAUCCCGAUAAACUUAAAACAGAGAGUUUCCGGAGACUGAGAAUAACACCUACCCAAUGAUUUGUUUUGGCCAAUGAAAUCCCAUCCAUGUGAAGUUCCUCCAAAUGAGAUAGAUUAGACAACCACUCGAGGUUCUCAAAUCUACACCUUCCAGCAUAUGAAAGGAGAAGCCAUUGCAAGUUGGUGAGGUUUCCGAACUCUGGAGGAAUGGUUCCAUGAAAAGAGUUAGAUGAAAGGUCAAGGUACCAUAAUUCAGUCAAGGAACCAAUGGACCUGGGAAUGGUACCAUUAAGAUUAUUGCCGCCAAGGAGAAGGGACCUUAAAUGAGUCAACGAACCAAUGAAGGUGGGAAUGGUUCCAUGAAAAGAAUUUCCGGAAAGAUCAAGAUAGUUCAAGUAGGUUAAGUUAACCAAUGAAUGGCUAAUCUCACCUACAAGACCACAGGACAUCAGAUCAAGCUCUGUGACAUGACCACCUUUUUGGUUGUUGCACGUCACUCCACUCCAUUCACAGCAGUUGUCUUGUUCAGCUGUCCACGUAGAGAGACGAUCAUAUAAGGGUCUUGAAUGUGAGAUUUGAAAUGAAGGAGACCAUCUCUCUCCUUCUCAAAACACUUAUCAUCUCCUCCUCCCACUUCUGCGCGCCAAUUGGUUGGCAGUUGUAGUCUCAAGACAGAAGAAGAGAAGUGAGAAUAUUAUAAAAACACAAGGACUCAUGAUGUAAAUGCAAAUCUUGGUGAUUUUUUUUGUUUGUAUGGAUGAAAAUUUAAAGAUGCUCCAUGCAGCUUUAUAUAGUGCUGCAAACUGUGAAAAUGAAGGAUUCAGUAAUUCUCGUGAGAACGGUAGGAACAUAAUUCUUUUUUCCUUUUUUUUUCAUCAAUAUGAAAACAUUUUAUAAGGCUAAAAAAUAAUAAAUUCUGGGAUUUUUUUUAUUAAAAUAAAACACUAAAAAGAUGAAAAAUCAAUUCCAUAUUCAUCAAUGAAAUAAAAUGCGCUAUAAAACACAUCCUACAGCAACAACCAUAUAGAUGUCUAUUUAUAGGUCAUAAAAAGAUAUUAUGGUAUUUUUGUUUUUAUUUUUUAAAAAAAAAAUAAUGCCGUAAUAGAUAAAAAAAUUUAACAAUACUCCUCAAUGAAAACAUCAUAAUAAAAACUUUGUACAUCGAUAUGGAUGUAUAGCUGUACAACAUAAAAAUAUAUAAAUUUGGGUCUUUUGUUUUUUUUUCUUCGAAAAAUAAUAUUACCUUAAAAAAAAAUACUGAAAUUUAUUAUUUUUAUGCUCUAAAAAAAGAUAUCAAUAUAAAAGGUUCCUACCAUUUUUAACAAGAAUUAUCUUUCUUGCGUUUACACUUUAUACACACCUAGUGAGUUGUGAUUCGUGUGGAGCAUAAAAUCCUUAUUUUCCUUUGAAAUAGAACCAAAGUAUAAAAGAAAUUAGAAAAGACGAAUUGAAAUAAACUGCCCCAAAUCAAACGUUCAAAGAUUUAUACACUGUGUAAGGCAUAAAAGCCUUAUUUUCCUUGAAAUAGAACCAUUCAAACUAUAAAACAAAUUUAUAUUAAAAAAAAAAAAAAAAAAAAAAAAAGGACAAUUGUAAUGGAUAGCUAGCCCCAUAUUAGACUUUCAGGUCAUGGAAAUUUGUAUUUUUCCUAUACAUAUCUUUUUUCAUCUAGUCAUAUCUUUUGAUCCUCUCUUUAUGUCAUUGUAAAUUCACAAAAGCAAACCAAUCAUUCAGGAAAAAGGACAAAUGGUGGGUUAGUGCCUGGAAACAACCAUAUAUAGCUAGCUGUCCAGAUCAAGUGCUUAAUUAUUAAGCCUAUUAAGUCAUAAAGAAUCAGUCCCUAAUUGCAUAAGAGCUGAGUGAUAAAUGAUGAGUCUCCAGAGAAUGUAUUGGAUAAAAUAAGGCUAAUUAUUUAUGUAUUUUGGAUUGAAUGAACCAUUUGAAUAAGAGAAAACAACCAUUUUACCCUUCUAUCUAAAAGUAAUGUAGAAUACCAAGUUGUUGUUAAUUUGUGAGAACUAUUGAAAUUUUAAACUAAAAAUCACUUUUAUAUAUACGACCAUGAGACUUACAUAUGUUUGUCAAAAACUACCAUAACUGUCUUUUGUCAAAGCAAACUUGCAGUGUAAUCUUACCAUUAUUUUCUACAGAUAGAGCAAAAUCCUUUUGGCUUUUGCAAUGCAUUGUUUCCCCAGACAACAAAUCAGAAUGCAAACGACUUGUUAUAUUCAGAAACAUUGAAUUAAACCCCAAUUUAACAAGGAUUCAUGCCUCUCAUACUCCCCUUGGGUUAUUAAACAACUUCUAUUUAUGUCUAAUUGAGACAAUUCUUCCAAUCCUAUGCAGAUUUAAUCUCCUACACAGAUUUUUAUGAAACCAAUUAGAAAAGUUCCAACCUCCAACAUAAACAUUAACCCAGAAACAACUCUAAUUUAUGGAAUCUAUUAAAAAUUUGUCAAUUGAAACAAAAAGGCACCGUUUAACGUCAAAACUGAAAAUUAAUAAUAAUAAUAAUAUUAAAUGUGAGCAAGAGAAACAUUAUUCAACAGAAAAUGGAGAACAGAGAGUCGAGAAGAAAAAUCGAGAUUAAGAGAACAAAAAGAGAAUAGAUAUAUCGAGUAUUGAAUAGUUGAGAUGAUCCAACAACUUACCUGAUGGAAGACCGAGGGAGGAACGACGAAGACAUCUUGGAACAGUGAUGGAAGAUGGAGAAGAGAAGACGAAGUGAAGGCUGUAAAAACUGAAAAGAAAAGUAGGGUUAAAGGAGGACGAGGAUAAACGAGUAAAAAUCAAAUUCAUAAGCUAAAAGGGGAUAACAAAACCAAACCCACAAACCAAAAAAUCAAUAAUCAACUAGAAAUGUAACCCAUGCUAUGGACGGAGGCGUUUUAGAGCUGCAAAUGUUUUUUUUCUUUAUUUAUAUAAUGCAUGUUUGUUUUUGAAGAUGAAGUUUUUCUGUUAAUGUAAGACAAUUGAUAAAUUGAAAACCACAUCACAAUGUUAUUACAAAUGUAAAAUUGUAACUCUAAAAUAUUUAGAGUUUUCCCAAGAUAUUCUGAUGAUGGAGUAAUGAAUUUGAUACAAACCUUCAUCAAUCGGUACUAAUUCCCUGCAAGCUUUUUACUAUUUUCACCUAAGGGGUAAAAACAGAAAGAAAUCAACAUUAUUUGAUUCACAAUGAUUGCAAGUAUUUUUUUCAUUUAAUUAAGAAUGCAAAAUGUACUUGCUCAUCUUUACAAAUAUAACCUUUCAUCCACCUCGAAAAUGGCAAUAUUCAUAUUCUCAUGCAUUGCUACACUCCUUUCUUUUGAGUACCAAAAAUCAUACCUACCUAAAAUAUUUUCACUCUUCACCAACAUACCAUAGGGACAAAACCUAUAUCCCGUGCAAUUUUGGUCAAUCCUAAAAGUUGUUAGUAGAAAAUAAAUUUGUUUUAAAAGGAUAAAGAACAUGCUCCAUGAUUCAAAAUAAUGGAAUAGAAAUGAAAUUAGAGUCUAUAUACUUGGAUGGAAUGGAAUAAGCAAGGUUGCUUUGGUAGAAAUGGAACAAACUUACUUAAUAUAUAUUUUAAAGUUAAAGAUAAUAGAAGCUUACUAACCCAAAUAAGGUAUAACAAAAAUAAGAGUGAGCUACAAAUUUGGUACCUAUGGCUAUACUACAGUUAAAAUUGCAAAACUCGCCGGUUUUAAGAGCCCCUUUCUUUGUAUCUUGCAUGGUGUCCAUCGUUUUGAAACACUACAAAAUUUCACUGACAAACUAUUAGUAUUCAGUUCGGAUAAAGCUAAAGGAUAAAGCUAAAUCAGUUAAACAAACCCAUGAAUUAACUAACCCCUAAUCAAAAUCCUAAUACGCUGACUGUCGGCCAAAGCCUUCCUGCAAGCAUACUGAAAAAGAAAAAAAAAUCUUAAAGAUAGAAACUGAUACCAUUUCACUUCACAAUCCACUAUCAUCACUAUUAACAUAUAAAUUUGAAACCAAAUCAUAAAAGUAUUUCAUAGGAUUCACUUGUUCUUCAUCGAUCUGAUAUUACAAGUGCUUGUCGUCCAAAAAUCAUCAGAAAGAAUAGAUAUUUUCAUAGUUUUGCCUUGUACACAUAUCAUAAGUAAUGAACUCUCAAUGUACUUGAUGUAAAUUUGGACUUGAAAUAAUGUCACAAAAAGGGUAAGUGCAAUGUUAUUAUGUGAUAUUUAAGAAAGUAGAAUGCUAAUUUUCAACUUCAAAGAGCUAACUAAAAGUAAACACCAAAUUGGAUACAUACACAAAAUAUUACAUAAGAAUUGCAAUUGUUCCAUUUUAUUUCAAUCUUUCAGCUGUUUUGCAUUGUUCCAUGUCAAUGAAAUUGAUAAAUUUAGAUAUUUAAUACAUAAUUCAAAAUCAAGAAUUAUUAAAAUUAUUUAUAUUUUUAUACUGACACUUUAACCAUUUCUUGGAAAUGUGGAAACGUAGCUAUAACAGAUUAUAUGCUGGGGACACAAAUAUUGUCUUCUACUAAUAUAUUCUGGGAAAUUUAAUAAUUAGAAAAUAUGACUAUGGUACAUAUAAAGUGAUGUUCAAUGUAAAAAAAAAUGGUCGUUUCUAAUAAUUUACCUUUAUGGGGAAGUUGCUAACAGUAACAUUGAUACACACCAUUACACCUUAUGCAAAACAUAAGCUUGUUUGGGUCACCGGUCCUUUUACAUACCUGGGUUUUAGAAAAGAUAUGUAUACAAAUUAAAAAAGCAGCAUUUUUAUUAUAUUCAAAGUCCUUACCGGUAAUAUAGGCUAAAUACAAAACUCAAAAUCAAAAAACAACAUCAUGAACGCCUUAAAAGAGCUCAAAAAACAAUUAAAAUCUACAACCCCUGUGAUAAAUGAACUAACAACCUAGAUCAAUGGAUUUACCUUCGCAUUCCUGCAAGUGCCAAUACAUCGGACUUAUAAUUCUUUGCUACUUCAUAGUUACUCAGACAACCACCUAAAUCAUUAUAGCAAACCCUCCCUUCCGUUGAAACGGCUUCUAAAUCUAAGAAAAUUAGCACAGGAGCAAUCUUGACACCCAAAUAUUAGACAAUAGUUUUCUCAUCCAACACGCCAGAGAACAAAUUGGCUGCUAAAAACAAACCUUUUAAGGAUUAACAUAACAAACUUGUUAAAUUUUAGAAAACCUGACACAAAUACCUGGAGAAAAAAAAAAGCAUACAUCUAUAAAAAAUUUCUUGCUUCUUGCUUUCAAAAGACUGUUUGAGGGAGAUGGGGGGUCAAUUUUUCAUAGGGAAUAGCUCUGCGAGCUGCAAAAAGAAAAUGAAAACAUAAAAAUCAACAUGUUGACAUCAUAAAAUCCCGAAAUAAUCAUACCGAUAUAAUAAGAAUCUAGGUCAAUAGAGCAUAAAUCAUAAAUCGAUGACUUCAACAUAAAUCAGAUACAUAACUCCAAAAUAAGUACCGACGAUGUCAAUAGCGUAAGUCUGAAGAGUGCGGUUGAAUUAUGAUCGAUGAAUUUGAUCAGAACUUGAAGAGGAACCCACCGACAAAAAAAAAAAACUGUAUUAGAAUGCUUCAAAUUCAAUGAAUUGAGACAAUAAGUAUCUAGCCAGGAAGAUUAAAAAACAGAUAAAAUAAAUAAAAUGAAUCGACUUCUUGAAGAUGUUGAAAAUUACCAAAUUGGAACCCCGACUUCAAAUUAAAUCUGACAACCUGGAACAUGAAGGACGGUAACGGCGGCAACAAAUGUUUGAGGGUAUCUAAAUUCUUAGUCAAAGAAGAAGCAGAAAGAUCGGUGGCUGAUAUGGAUAACAGAAAAAGAUAACCCACCUAGGGUUUGGAAGUGAGACAGGGAAGUCGAUCGAAAAAAGAAGUGAGCUUCACAAAUUCCAGAAGUAGGAAUUAAUAGGCUUCAUCUCGUUUCCAGAAAAAUGAACGAUUAGCUUGAAGCAGGAAAAGUUCGUCUGGUGGUAGCAAUAGAUGAUUUUGUGGGUUCAUUAGUUGGGAAUUUUGAGGUCUUCUUCUCAACCUGUACCGGCACAGCUUUGAGCGAUUAGGGACGAUCUGCCUCUUUUCAAUCUGCUAUGCUUUUCGCCCCUCAAUCAGUCGAUUGUAAGUGUUGUUGGACCGCGAGAAGUAGUAUUGGAGACUUUGUGAUCGGGUGAGAGAUGGUCUGUAGGAAUUGUUCCAUCUUGUAAACGAUUGAAUGUUCAAAUAGAUGGUGAUUGAAAGAAAUCAGGGUUUGUGAGACAUUGUUGCGAUCGGAAUGAACAACGGGAUGGGGAAUGCAGCUGCAGAUGCCAGCUUGGCCGGAACAGCCAUAAAAAACAGGUGCAUCAAACAGAAACGAUAAUGUAAAAAAAACAGAGUAGCAUAAAGAAAAUAUAGAAGCCUAACGGAGAGAAAUUACCUGGGGAAGAAAAGAACGUACAACGAAAAGCAAAAGCGGCGGAGUUUCAGCGAAGAAGAAUGCGGAAGAAAGAAGAGAGUACAAGAGAGUACCACGUGGAAAGUGAAGGACAGUGAAAAAGACACGUAUAAUCUACAAUGAUUCGUCAGCAACCGGCGGAUGAAG
This 10812-nucleotide long non-coding RNA is filed under the name Lactuca sativa (garden lettuce). Its description in RNAcentral is "long non-coding RNA (LSAT_LNC006483)". The record is from RNAcentral. Lineage: Eukaryota; Viridiplantae; Streptophyta; Magnoliopsida; Asterales; Asteraceae.